This is a long non-coding RNA of Oryctolagus cuniculus (rabbit), 767 nucleotides long. NCBI's taxonomy places the organism in Eukaryota, Metazoa, Chordata, Mammalia, Lagomorpha, Leporidae. The record is from Ensembl.
GCUCCAGACUCACUGGAGACAUCCUGACACUUAAUGCUCUGCCCAGCACAAUGUGAUGCCCUUUACCUAGUACAAGGGGGAGUCUCAUAAAGGUGCUGCCUUCCCCCCAGAACAAACAACGGAAGUGCAUCAGGGGAGCUCAGCUGCAGACAGAAUGCACAUCUCGGAGCAGGAGCCACCCUGGGAUUCCUCAGAUGAAAGGCGAUUUCAAUGAACAUUGUGUUUCAAAGCCUGCUUCCUCUUGCGCUGUAAGAGCUGCAGAGGGAACAUCCCACUUGCGUCUGCUGACACAAAAGAAUGCUGUGGCUGGGAGAUCUUAUCAAGCCUUCCUGUGCCACAGCAACAGAGCUCCAGUUGUGUCUUAUAAGAAUUGCUCAUUGUUUCAUGAGGACGACUGGCUCCUUUGGGUGGGAUCUGAUGGCAUCUCAUGGACUUGGAGGCUGAAGAACAGCAUGGAGUUUACCUGUGAUCCUGCACUCUUUGGUAUUUCGUGCUCUCCAGGUUUCAAAGAACUCCUACACAAAACCGAUCUCAGCAGAGCCUCGGGUAACCCUGUGAGGCGAAUGGGACUGAGUGCUGCCCACGUGAUGCACUCCUCCUUCAAGCCUGGUUCUGACACAGCCCACAGAUUCUUCCGGGUCUUCUCUCUCCUCUCCUCCAUGGCAGCUGGCAAGGUCAAGAGACCCAAGGAGGAACUUCAGAGUCCUAGGGAAUUGCAGAGUCCUAUCAUGGGUCAGCAAGUUUCCCUGUCAAGUGUCAGAAAAUAA